This is an RNA transcript of Amaranthus tricolor (Joseph's coat), 1372 nucleotides long. RefSeq lists it as uncharacterized. The record is from RefSeq and is a predicted model, not a curated record. NCBI's taxonomy places the organism in Eukaryota, Viridiplantae, Streptophyta, Magnoliopsida, Caryophyllales, Amaranthaceae. The transcript is spliced from 3 exons.
UGUUGAAAUCUGGUGAGUCGAACUUGGCCAUUGGCAACUAGUUGUAUACUUACUCUACAAGACUUUGAAUCAUACGACAAAAUGGAAAUGUUGCCUUAAGAUUUGGAAUUUCUCGAAUUAGGAUUUAGGAUCAUGCUCUUUGAAAAUUGAAAAACACACACAUACUAAUCAAAAAUGGAAGGAGUAGGAAAUUAGAGUUUUCAUUCAUGGAGGAAGAAGAAUCAGAUCAACUACCCAACACGUUCAACGACUGGGAAUCUCUUCCCUCUUCCACCCAUUCUCACAAUCAAUCUACUCUUCAAACCCAUCAUUACAAUAACCAUAACAAUGACCACAAUCUGUCAAUCUUCCCACCCAUUAAUCAUGAAGGCCUCCCAGUUCCAUCCCUUCCUCUUCAUGCACCUCCUUCUUUCUCCAUUCCUAAUUCUAAGUCUAAUUCUUUGACUUCUUCCUCUUCUUCCCUACCCAAACCCUGCGACGUUUCCCCCUUUAGUACUUGGUUCAAUUUUGCCCUCCAUUUUUGGAAUUCUAAACUCACUCGCCUCCGUUCUCGUGGGGCUUUCUCAUUCAUUUUUCCCGUGGCUACUACGGUGUCGUUUCUGGGGUUUUUGUGGUUUUGGAUUCGGUGGCGGCGGAGGGUAUGUAGUUCUACUGGAAAGGAGAGUAUUGAUCGAUUGAAGGUUCUAAUUAAGGAAAAAGACGAGCUUUUAACGAAGGAAUGAUAAAUUGGGAGUUGCAGUAGCUACUUCGUUUGGAGUUCUUCACCUACCAAGCUCACGGCUGGAGCCUUGAUCUGACUUGCAAAGGGCAGGAUGGAUGGAGAUUAAGCAACAACUUUGAAUUGAUGAUUUGGUUUGGAAUAAAAGGAUACCUUGAACUUAAACUAUCAACAAAUUAUGAAUGGCUUGGAACAUUAACAAACAGAGAAGCUAGAAGAGUAUUGUCUGAACUUUGAAGAGAAAGGGAAAUAUAGUUCACUUUUCUGAUGGAUUGCUUUUACAUCACACCCGAUAUUUAUAUAUCGCUGAAGAUUAUUCAGCUCUUGGAACAGGUUGCUCAGAUGAAUAAGUUGUUGCUGGCAAGAUACAGAAUUCCAGUGCUGAGGAGUUGCUGAUUGUUUGGAAAAAUUUAUAACUAGCUGCAUUCAGGUAUAUGACUGUGUCAUUAGGAGCAACAAUCAGGUGUGCAUAUGUGUUAUAUUUGUAUUUACAUUCAUAAUUUAUCUACAACAUGAGGCUGAUUUGUAUAUAGGUGUUGUUCACGGUUCAGUUUGUAAUUUGUUAUGCUUGCACCACCAUUAUUGAUGAUGCCAUCAUAUAUUUGUGGAAGCAGACAACUAUUCUCUUAUUAUUACACAAGCUUUCUCUAAUAA